This 389-nucleotide ribosomal RNA is filed under the name uncultured bacterium. RNAcentral's name for it is "bacterial SSU rRNA". It matches the Rfam family "Bacterial small subunit ribosomal RNA", at positions 30 to 429 of the family's 1533-position model. The record is from RNAcentral.
AUUGAACGCUGGCGGAAUGCCUAACACAUGCAAGUCGAACGAGGUGUAGCAAUACACCUAGUGGCGGACGGGUGAGGAACACAUAGGAAUCUACCUUUUAGUGGGGGAUAACCCGGGGAAACUCGGAUUAAUACCGCAUACGAUCUACGGAUGAAAGUGGGGGACCGCAAGGCCUCACGCUGUUAGAUGAGCCUAUGUCCGAUUAGCUAGUUGGUAGGGUAAUGGCCUACCAAGGCGACGAUCGGUAGCUGGUUUGAGAGAACGAUCAGCCACACUGGAACUGAGACACGGUCCAGACUCCUACGGGAGGCAGCAGUGGGGAAUAUUGGACAAUGGGCGCAAGCCUGAUCCAGCAAUUCCGCGUGGGUGAAGAAGGCCUCGGUUGUAAG